This is a non-coding RNA of Xenorhabdus nematophila ATCC 19061, 102 nucleotides long. The record is from Rfam. NCBI's taxonomy places the organism in Bacteria, Pseudomonadati, Pseudomonadota, Gammaproteobacteria, Enterobacterales, Morganellaceae.
AGACCACUGGCAGUAAAUAGGGUCCAGUUACAUAAAGCCCCGAGUAUCGGGGUUUUUUGUUAUUUGACAGCAGAACUACUGGGCUAAUAUAGCCCUUUUUUU